This 707-nucleotide ribosomal RNA is filed under the name Salmonella enterica subsp. diarizonae. Its description in RNAcentral is "partial 23S ribosomal RNA". It matches the Rfam family "Bacterial large subunit ribosomal RNA", at positions 1 to 1190 of the family's 2925-position model. The record is from RNAcentral. Lineage: Bacteria; Pseudomonadati; Pseudomonadota; Gammaproteobacteria; Enterobacterales; Enterobacteriaceae.
CACCACUAAGCCAGUGGUGAACUCCACAUACGCAUCCUUUGCGGAAGAUGCGGUUAACGGAGCGAAAGCGACGUUCAACCUCAGAAGAAGCAGAGGGGGCUUAGUGGUGGGGUGACUGCGUACCUUUUGUAUAAUGGGUCAGCGACUUAUAUUCUGUAGCAAGGUUAACCGCAUAGGGGAGCCGAAGGGAAACCGAGUCUUAAUUGGGCGUUAAGUUGCAGGGUAUAGACCCGAAACCCGGUGAUCUAGCCAUGGGCAGGUUGAAGGUUGGGUAACACUAACUGGAGGACCGAACCGACUAAUGUUGAAAAAUUAGCGGAUGACCUGUGGCUGGGGGUGAAAGGCCAAUCAAACCGGGAGAUAGCUGGUUCUCCCCGAAAGCUAUUUAGGUAGCGCCUCGUGAACUCAUCUCCGGGGGUAGAGCACUGUUUCGGCUAGGGGGCCAUCCCGGCUUACCAACCCGAUGCAAACUGCGAAUACCGGAGAAUGUUAUCACGGGAGACACACGGCGGGUGCUAACGUCCGUCGUGAAGAGGGAAACAACCCAGACCGCCAGCUAAGGUCCCAAAGUCAUGGUUAAGUGGGAAACGAUGUGGGAAGGCCCAGACAGCCAGGAUGUUGGCUUAGAAGCAGCCAUCAUUUAAAGAAAGCGUAAUAGCUCACUGGUCGAGUCGGCCUGCGCGGAAGAUGUAACGGGGCUAAACCAU